GGGCGCAUAGCGCAGUGGUAGCGCGUUCCGCUUUGCAAGCGGAAGGCCCCCGGGUUCAAUCCCCGGUGUGUCCA
This 74-nucleotide transfer RNA is filed under the name Phytophthora infestans T30-4. It matches the Rfam family "tRNA". From Rfam's summary of the family: Transfer RNA (tRNA) molecules are approximately 80 nucleotides in length. Their secondary structure includes four short double-helical elements and three loops (D, anti-codon, and T loops). Further hydrogen bonds mediate the characteristic L-shaped molecular structure. tRNAs have two regions of fundamental functional importance: the anti-codon, which is responsible for specific mRNA codon recognition, and the 3' end, to which the tRNAs corresponding amino acid is attached (by aminoacyl-tRNA synthetases). tRNAs cope with the degeneracy of the genetic code in two manners: having more than one tRNA (with a specific anti-codon) for a particular amino acid; and 'wobble' base-pairing, i.e. permitting non-standard base-pairing at the 3rd anti-codon position. Lineage: Eukaryota; Oomycota; Peronosporomycetes; Peronosporales; Peronosporaceae. The record is from Rfam by way of RNAcentral.